This is a long non-coding RNA of Mytilus californianus (California mussel), 5131 nucleotides long. RefSeq lists it as uncharacterized. The record is from RefSeq and is a predicted model, not a curated record. The transcript has 2 exons. Lineage: Eukaryota; Metazoa; Mollusca; Bivalvia; Mytilida; Mytilidae.
AUAAAAUUUAAUGAUCUAAUAAUUAAAUUGAUUUAUUGCAUUCAAAAUACAUGUAUUUGUUUAUUGAGUUUCGAUUGUACAGUCAGUCCAUUGUUUACGGUUUGCCAUUUAAAUCUUUACAACCAUAUAUUUAAACAUACGAAAGAAUAUGCUUUGAAGCGCCUCGUGGACUUUUGUCAUAUAUAAACACGUGUUCCCGCUCAAUUUUCAUUCAAUGAUUAUUUCUCAACAGAAUUGCACAAGGAUAGGACCAGAGCGUAAAUAAGAUAAAAUAGAAGAAAUGAAGUAAGCCGGAGAUUAAGACCAAGGGUAAACAACGUUGGAGUUCAACGACCUGCUCCUCGUGAAGUACCAGCACCAGAACAGGUACCCGUUCCUGAGGAAGUUGUCCGAGUGGUAAACAGAGGAAGACACGGAAAAAGAAGGCGUGCAGCGCCCGAGCUUCAACAACCAGAUCAACCUGUGGAGCCCAAUAAUCAACCUCCACCUCAGAAACAACUGAAAACUACGGCAGUUCACGCUCAACCGGGUAAUACUUUAAAUACUACUGUCCUUUGUUUAUACCAUGUUCUAAUGAAAUUGACAUAAUUAUUUCUCAGCAAAUAAUAGAGAAAAUUCGGAAUUGUAAAAAUGUUGAUUUUGGUACUCUUCUUCAACAAAAUAGUCAAUAUUAUAGUAGUUUGGAUCAGAAACAAAGCGUAAUGGUUAAAAAUGGAAUGCUUGUCAUUUCUCAUUACCCUUCAAAGGACAAUACAAUAAAUACCAUUGAAUUAUGGACUGAAGCAUUUGCAGUUUUUUUCUAAAAUACUUCUUCAAAAACAUGCUGGCUUAACACAAGACUUGUUUACAUACAUGUUAAUCAUAAGAGUUUUUAUAUCAGAUGCACAUUUUGACAGAGUUUACCCGUAUGAUAGAAAAUUUAGAUUAAGUGUAUCACUAAAACACUCUAAAUCUUUGUCUGAGAUUGAUGGCUUUCUUUGGUUGAAAUUCAUUGUAAAGGGAUCGCAAGGCACACCUAAUCCUGUAGUCUGCCAGGCUAACUUACAAAAACAUUGUUAUGACUAUAACUUUAAAGGUUAUUGUCAGAAAUCUCAAGUGUUUUACAGACAUAACUGUAUGAAAUGUUCAUUACAACAUCCAGUCUUAUGUGUUAGAUUUGAUAGCUUACAAAGUAACCAAGGUUAUCAUAAGGGAUCAUUGAUGCCACCUGUGUUUAUCCAAAAUAGAUCUCAUAUGUCUAACCAGUUUCGACAAAACAGGCCUUCAUUUGUUCAACAAAUAGAUAUAGGUCACCAAUAAACACAAGGUAUUUCGUCCCUAGAUUUAAUCAAAUGACAUAUAGUUAACUUUUCUUUCAGAAUUGUCAAAGGAUAAAUAUGAUAUUUGGAAGAAGAGACAUUCAUCUUUAAUAUUGAACAAUUAAGAUUAUCCUAAUGAACAGGACAAACAAAUUUUGUUUAUUGGUUUUAAAUUUGGAUUUAGAUUGAAUCAUAAUUGACCAAGAUUUCCACUUGAAUCAAAAAAUUAAAAUCUUUUUUGACAAAUCCUAUUGGAGCUAGAUGUAAGAUUGAAUCUGAAAUAUCGUUAUGAAGAAUAGCAGGUGCUCUUUGUAAGAGACCAAUAUCUAAUCUUAGAUAUUCUCCUAUUGGAUUAGUUAAAAAAAAAAAAAAAAAAAAAAAAAAAAAAAAAAAUAAAUAAAUAAAAAAAAAAACAGGUUUUUCGUCUGAUUACCCAUUUAUCAUAUCAGCCAUUGAGCAGCGUUAACGACUUCAUCGAUGAAAGGUUUACCUCUGUUAAAUAUUCUUCAUUUGAUAAUGCUGUUGAUUACUUCCGGUUUAUACAUGAGAUUUUGACUAAUUUGGUUUUAAAAUUGUAAAUGAAUACUACAUAGACGAGGCAAUGACAUUGGGCUGCUCAAUUUCAUAUGCUAAAUUUGAGAAGUUUUUAGCCUUUUUGAAUUGGUUUUAAAAAUAAGUCUGGUUUAAAUAAUAUAGACCACUAUUUGGUAGAAUUUUAAUAUUGUUGGCUAAUCAGAUUCUGAUGAAUGUGAACAACUGAUGUUUCAGAAUGAUGAAAUUUGCAAAGAUAUUGUAGUCUCACUUGCAAAAAAAAAAAAUGAAGGUCCAACUACACUGAUUGAAUAUCUGGGUCUUACAAUUGAUACUGUUAAUAUGCUUGUUUAAAUUCCACAUGAAAAGAUUGAAGAAAUUUUAAACAGAAUUAAUAAUUUAUAAGCCAUGAAAAAAGUAACGUUAAAAGAAUUGCAGUCAAUAUGUGGUUCAUUAGUUUUCUGCACGAAGGCUAUACCUGAUGGAAGAGCGUUUAGUUGUAUUCGACCAUGGACAAAGUGUCAAAUCCGUUUCACUUUUAUCUAUUGAUAUAGAAAUUAUUUUUGGAACAGUAUAAUAGGAUUUCGUAUUUAAAUGAUAUAGGAUGGAUAUCAAAUUUUUAUUUUGAACUAUAUACAGAUACUGCUGGUGAAUAAGGUAAAGGGUGUGCAAUUUAUAUUAAUGCUCAAUUGAGUGGCAUAAAGAAUGUAAUAGUUCAGAAAUAAUUGAAGAUAUAACAUAUUUUGAAAUCAUUCCAAUAACACUGGUUUGAUAAAUUAUACAAGAAACAUACUUUUUCCCAUUGAUAACCUGGCAGUAGUGAAUGUUUUAAACAAAAUGUCAAGAAAAUAUUAACUAGUUUCGUCCGUUUUUAGUUUAAUUAUUCACUGUUCACUAAUUGGUAAUUUUCAGUUUAAAGCUGUUCACAUUUUGUCAAAGGACAAUGCAAUUGCUGAUGCAUUAUCUCGUGCAAAUUUUCAGAAAUUUCAAUGUCUGCACCACUUGACAGCGAUUUUCCACAUCCAAUUCCAGUGGAGUUCUGGAACCUUUUAAAGAUGAAGUGAAUAAACUUUUAAGGCAAUCUGUUUCUUCAAAUACAAUGGAUGUGUAUGAAAAUGCAUCUAUUCAUUCAUAAAUUUCUGACCUGUUUUCGAAUAGAGGAAAGUUGGCCACCUCUUGUUAAUCAUACAAUUAAAUUACAUAGCUUUCAUAAAUAGUUAUUCCUAUAACCUUCAAAAACAUAUCUAUCAGGAAUAAAUCAUAAGUUGAAAAUAAAUAAUUGAAAUGAUUAUAGCAAAUCAUUUAUUUUGAAAAUAAUGUUAAAAGGUAAAAAAGUAAAAGAAAACCUAUUACUGUUGAUGUAUUAAAACAACUUGAAUUAAUUCUUCAAUGUUUGUAAAUGUUUAGGGGAGGAUUUGCUUAAGCCUUUUUUGGAUUUAUGAGAAUUAGAGAAAUCACAAAACUGAUGAUCAUGUUUAAAAAAAUUCAGAUAUUAAAUUUGAUGAUAUUAGUUCUAAAGUUUUUGUUACAAUUAUGUCUUCUAAGAAGGAUCAAAUUGGUUGUUCGACAAGUUUAAUGUUGUCUUCAAAUGAUAAUGAUGAUGAACAUUGUGUUGUCAAAACAUUUGCAGAUAACUUACAGUUACAUACAAGUUGAUGUGGGCAGGAAUGUCCGGUAUGUCACUAUAUAAUUUUGUACCAAUAGAAGAGAAUGUGAUACAUGGUGGGGGUUUACCAGAUGCUGUUUUGCUUCACUGUGGUGGCAAUGAAAUUAGACUUGUAAACUGUGCAAAAAAAUUUAUUUUAUAUUUAAUUUAUGCUAGAUAUAGUUGGACGUAUGGUGAAUGGAAGUUAAAUUAUUUUUUCAAGCAUAUUACCAAGGUUGAAAUGAAGAUGUUCAAAAGAUUUAAAAGCAAUGGAUGCAACCAGGAAACGUACAAAUAGGGGAGUUCAAUCACAUUUAAUUAAACUGGGGGUUACACUAUAAUUCAUUCUGAUUUUGAAGUCAAACUCUUAUCUUUGGUUAGUCAUGAUGGAGUACAUUUAUCGUUUAUUGGCAAUGAUAUAGUUUUGAAUUCUUUUCAAACUGCUUUAGAACAAUUUGAUAAUAUACCAAAUAAUUCUGUUUAUCCGAUGCAUGAAUGAUGUUUGUUUAUAUUUGUUGUAUGUUGAAAUGAAUAACAACUAGUUGAUAUAUUUUCGUUUAAUUUAUGCUGCUUAUUCAAUUGUCAUGGCGGAUUAGCAUUUGAUUGAGAGUUCAAUAAAAUGCCAAUUUUGGCAGUGAUUUAUUCAAAUAUUGUUCAUCGAGCUGUUAUGGAUCUGCCCAGCAGCUAGAAAUUAUUAUGCAUUUACUGUUGGUUUUACCUUCAGUGACCAAUUGUCAUCAAGUUUUAACUUGUUGGCCAGUUUGUUGAUGUUGGUUGUUUGUUGGUUGAUAUUGUUGAAUAUUGUUGAAUAAAUGCCAUGACAAAUAAUAAGCCAAAUUUCAAUUGUUUGUUGUUUAUAUUAUUCUGGCGAAGGAAUGAAACAAAACAAAUCUAUAAUUGUAUAUUUAUUGCACAAAUUGAAUAUGCAAUAAUAAAAUUUAAUGAUCUAAUAAUUAAAUUGAUUUAUUGCAUUCAAAAUACAUGUAUUUGUUUAUUGAGUUUCGAUUGUACAGUCAGUCCAUUGUUUACGGUUUGCCAUUUAAAUCUUUACAACCAUAUAUUUAAACAUACGAAAGAAUAUGCUUUGAAGCGCCUCGUGGACUUUUGUCAUAUAUAAACACGUGUUCCCGCUCAAUUUUCAUUCAAUGAUUAUUUCUCAACAGAAUUGCACAACCCACCCUCCCUCCCUUUAAUAAACAAAAUUGCUGCUGUUUUAAGUUUAUUUUUCAGAUUACAUGGUAAACAGAUCCACAUGUAUUGAAUAUUUCAAUUAGAUUGUCAUAUAUCAUCAAAAAUGUCGGACGUUUCAACAUUCAUCGGCAGAUUCAAUGAAACCUGAAUAUUCAAGAAAUUUGCAGUAAUAAUAAAAAAAAAAAAAAUGUCUAUCGUCAUGGCAUUACGUUCUAUAUGGAAAGUGCGUUGGAUGUCAUCAUCACAUUAAUUCAACUGGCAGUGAUUUAUUCAAAUAUUGUUCAUCGAGCUGUUAUGGAUCUGCCCAGCAGCUAGAAAUUAUUAUGCAUUUACUGUUGGUUUUACCUUCAGUGACCAAUUGUCAUCAAGUUUUAACUUGUUGGCCAGUUUGUUGAUGUUGGUUGUUUGUUGGUUGAUAUUGUUGAAUAUUGUUGAAUAAAUGCCAUGACAAAUAAUAAGCCAAAUU